This 505-nucleotide ribosomal RNA is filed under the name uncultured bacterium. RNAcentral's name for it is "partial 16S ribosomal RNA". It matches the Rfam family "Bacterial small subunit ribosomal RNA", at positions 28 to 507 of the family's 1533-position model. The record is from RNAcentral.
GACGAACGCUGGCGGCGUGCCUAAUACAUGCAAGUAGGACGCACAGUUUAUACCGUAGCUUGCUACACCAUAGACUGUGAGUUGCGAACGGGUGAGUAACGCGUAGGUAACCUGCCUGGUAGCGGGGGAUAACUAUUGGAAACGAUAGCUAGUACCGCAUAAUAUUGAUUAUUGCAUGAUAAUUGAUUGAAAGAUGCUAUUGCAUCACUACCAGAUGGACCUGCGUUGUAUUAGCUAGUAGGUGAGGUAACGGCUCACCUAGGCGACGAUACAUAGCCGACCUGAGAGGGUGAUCGGCCACACUGGGACUGAGACACGGCCCAGACUCCUACGGGAGGCAGCAGUAGGGAAUCUUCGGCAAUGGACGAAAGUCUGACCGAGCAACGCCGCGUGAGUGAAGAAGGUUUUCGGAUCGUAAAGCUCUGUUGUAAGAGAAGAACGGGUGUGAGAGUGGAAAGUUCACACUGUGACGGUAUCUUACCAGAAAGGGACGGCUAACUACGUG